Molecule: ribosomal RNA, 570 nt
Filed under: Saccharomyces cerevisiae (brewer's yeast)
Lineage: Eukaryota; Fungi; Ascomycota; Saccharomycetes; Saccharomycetales; Saccharomycetaceae
Description: eukaryotic LSU rRNA
Rfam family: Eukaryotic large subunit ribosomal RNA
Source: RNAcentral
UGAGGAAAAGGAAAACAACCGGGAUUGCCUUAGUAACGGCGAGUGAAGCGGCAAAAGCUCAAAUUUGAAAUCUGGUACCUUCGGUGCCCGAGUUGUAAUUUGGAGAGGGCAACUUUGGGGCCGUUCCUCGUCUAUGUUCCUUGGAACAGGACGUCAUAGAGGGUGAGAAUCCCGUGUGGCGAGGAGUGCGGUUCUUUGUAAAAGUGCCUUCGAAGAGUCGAGUUGUUUGGGAAUGCAGCUCUAAGUGGGUGGUAAAUUCCAUCUAAAGCUAAAUAUUGGCGAGAGACCGAUAGCGAACAAGUACAGUGAUGGAAAGAUGAAAAGAACUUUGAAAAGAGAGUGAAAAAGUACGUGAAAUUGUUGAAAGGGAAGGGCAUUUGAUCAGACAUGGUGUUUUGUGCCCUCUGCUCCUUGUGGGUAGGGGAAUCUCGCAUUUCACUGGGCCAGCAUCAGUUUUGGUGGCAGGAUAAAUCCAUAGGAAUGUAGCUUGCCUCGGUAAGUAUUAUAGCCUGUGGGAAUACUGCCAGCUGGGACUGAGGACUGCGACGUAAGUCAAGGAUGCUGGCAUAA